Molecule: ribosomal RNA, 28 nt
Filed under: Didymella pinodes (pea foot rot fungus)
Lineage: Eukaryota; Fungi; Ascomycota; Dothideomycetes; Pleosporales; Didymellaceae
Description: partial 18S ribosomal RNA
Source: RNAcentral
UCGUAGUGAACCUGCGGAAGGAUCAUUA